Molecule: ribosomal RNA, 131 nt
Filed under: uncultured bacterium
Lineage: Bacteria
Description: partial 23S ribosomal RNA
Rfam family: Bacterial large subunit ribosomal RNA
Source: RNAcentral
GUUAAGCGACUAAGCGUACACGGUGGAUGCCCUGGCAGUCAGAGGCGAUGAAGGACGUGCUAAUCUGCGAUAAGCGUCGGUAAGGUGAUAUGAACCGUUAUAACCGACGAUUUCCGAAUGGGGAAACCCGG